Cinara cedri is the source of this 299-nucleotide non-coding RNA. The record is from the annotation of a GenBank genome assembly. Lineage: Eukaryota; Metazoa; Arthropoda; Insecta; Hemiptera; Aphididae.
UAAUUUACCUACAGGAUAUACUUGCAUAUUAUAAACUUACACACAUUUGUCGGAGUUAUACAAAUUAUAUAGAAAUUGCAAUUAGACCGCCUUAAAACUGUUAAUGAACUCAGUCCAGUUUAUGUUCCGAAUUUACCCUCUGAAUAAAGUAGUUACCUAUCUACUAUGUACUAUAUAUAUAUAAAUAUUAUCUAAAUAGCUGUGAUUAUACUUUAAAUCUCUGAGUUCGUUACGACAGCCAAAAGGUCGAAAUGCUUUCUCUGAGACGACGACCCGAAACUAUCCGUAUUAACAAAAGG